UUAACCAAAACAUUACCAAAAAUUUUAAGUGUAUCAGAAUCAAUUAAGUUAAUUUGAUUUAAAGUUUUAGAUGUGUAUUAUGUACAAAUGAUUUUGAAUGUUAUCAGAUAUUGUUGAGUUAAUUAUUUAAUAGUUAAUUAGGGUGCCAGCAACUGCGGCUAGACCCAUUUUAAUAAAGUUUACUAAUAUUUAUUAGGUAAAAAUUAAUUGAAUUUUCAGGUUAAUUACUUUUUGUGAAAUUUAGAGUAAGUAAAGUUUUUAUUUGGUUGUAAAAAUAAUUUUUAAAAAACUUAUAUAAACUUGGAUCCUAUUCUAAUUAUAAGGUUUUAAAAAUUUUUAUUACCAUAAAGAAUAAAAAAAUUUGGCGUAUUCUUCAUUUUUUGGGGAGUGUGGGAAGAGAAUGGAAUUUGCACAAAGUAUUCUGUUAAAGUUAAAUAAUUAUGCUAGUGUACGGUUGUCUAGUUUGGAGAUAUCUUCAAGAGUUUUAAGUAUCUUUAAUACAAAUCAAUGUGCUGCAAUAUUUUAGAUUUUUUCGUUCACUACAGUUAUACCUAUUAGAAAAAUUUAAUUAUUUUUUUUAUUUUUGAAUAAAAAAUUUGGGUUAGAACUAGAAAGUAAAAAAUUAUUAGUUAGAAUUUUUGAAAAUAUACGUAGAAUAUGUACACAUUGCCCGUCAACCUUUUUUGAAAGGUAAGUCGAAACAUGUUAAGUGUAGCUGAAGCUGCACUUA
Molecule: ribosomal RNA, 730 nt
Filed under: Parakontikia atrata
Lineage: Eukaryota; Metazoa; Platyhelminthes; Tricladida; Geoplanidae
Description: 12S ribosomal RNA
Source: RNAcentral